UGAGAGAGCUUGCAACGAGUAGAAGGGGGAGAGCAGAGAGCACAAAGAGCAGAGCUCUGCAACUGGUUUCGUCGAUGGGCUGGAAAUGAUUGAUGGGCUUGUUUCCGACUAAAUUAUUUCUUCAUAAAUCAUGGCUAGAAUACAUGAAGCCAUGAAACCAAUUGGUCCAAGAACAAUGAGAUAAUUUUGUUUCUACUUUGUACCCAAAAAAAUAAAUGAAAACACUGACACAUGGUGUUACUAUUCGUAAAAAACUUACACAAUGUUCCUCUUUAAUGUAGAAUACAUCUUACACCAUUUAAGUUUGAGGUAAUUUUCAAAACGGGUGUGAAAUGUAGUUAGCCCUAAAACCCUAAAAUGUAUAUCAAGUUUUGACAUGAAUUGAGAAUCAUUUGGUGCAGGUAUGGAUCC
This 411-nucleotide long non-coding RNA is filed under the name Malus domestica (apple). Its description in RNAcentral is "long non-coding RNA (MDOM_LNC002486)". Lineage: Eukaryota; Viridiplantae; Streptophyta; Magnoliopsida; Rosales; Rosaceae. The record is from RNAcentral.